AUUGAACGCUGGCGGCAUGCCUUACACAUGCAAGUCGAACGGCAGCGCGGGAGCAAUCCUGGCGGCGAGUGGCGAACGGGUGAGUAAUGCAUCGGAACGUGCCUGGUAGUGGGGGAUAACUGCUCGAAAGAGCAGCUAAUACCGCAUACGACCUGAGGGUGAAAGGGGGGGAUCGCAAGACCUCUCGCUACCCGAGCGGCCGAUGUCGGAUUAGCUAGUUGGUGGGGUAAAGGCCCACCAAGGCAACGAUCCGUAGCUGGUCUGAGAGGACGACCAGCCACACUGGGACUGAGAUACGGGCCAGACUCCUACGGGAGGCAGCAGUAGGGAAUAUUGGUCAAUGGGUGAGAGCCUGAACCAGCCAUGCCGCGUGCAGGAAGAAAGCCUUCUGGGUUGUAAACUGCUUUUGCCAAGGGAUAAAAUACCCAUGCGUGGGGAAUUGAAGGUACUUGGUGAAUAAGCCACGGCUAACUACGUGCCAGCCGCCGCUGUAA
RNAcentral lists this ribosomal RNA (494 nucleotides) under uncultured bacterium. Its description in RNAcentral is "partial 16S ribosomal RNA". It matches the Rfam family "Bacterial small subunit ribosomal RNA", at positions 29 to 523 of the family's 1533-position model. The record is from RNAcentral.